AUGGUGAUGCUUAUGAGCAGCACCUCAUCCUUUUCUCUCCUCCCACUCAACUCAAACCCCUCUACAUCUACCACUGCCGCUGUCGUCGGCAACUCACCCGCCGUUCUUCAUAGUGUCAACUGUUGUACAGAUUAUCUAUUUAGGAUCGUUUCUGGCCAUCGGAUAAGACAAGUGGCUGUACGGAAUAGCAAUCGAACGGCUGAGGUUACUUCAUCCUCUGAUUCUGUAACUGAUUUAGAGUCGGCGGCGAGUGUGGUGAGGAAAUUCUAUGCCGGAAUAAAUAGGCGGGAUUUGGACUCUGUCGAAGAACUUAUUGCUGAGGAUUGUGUGUAUGAAGACCUUGUAUUUCCUCAACCUUUCGUUGGCCGUAAGGCAAUUCUAGAUUUUUUCAAGAAGUUCACUGAUUCAGUUGGUUCUGAUCUGCAAUUUGUUAUUGACGAUAUAUCCAAGGAGGAUUCAUCAGCUGUUGGAGUCACAUGGCACUUGGUUAUGGCAGAGACAGUGUGGAACCUGCAGUCAAGCCGGGGGAGACGGCAUUGGUUGCGAUAAGAGGCGUGGCAUGGCUGUUGCAAAAAUUUCCCCAAUUGGCAGAUCGGUUGUGAUUGAAGAAGUAUGAUUGGUCUUAUAAGAUUGAAGUUAAUUUAUGAGGGGAAAAAAAAUCAGUAUAUACAUGUCAUUACUUGUAAUGUAAGCCUGAAAGGCUUUACUAGUAUGUACAUAAUGAAUUUGUGCAUAGUUACUUGAUAAAAAUAUUCAUUUCCACCUUGUAUGUCAUGG
Molecule: unclassified non-coding RNA, 777 nt
Filed under: Hevea brasiliensis (rubber tree)
Lineage: Eukaryota; Viridiplantae; Streptophyta; Magnoliopsida; Malpighiales; Euphorbiaceae
Source: RNAcentral